GUCUCACAAGAUCUGAUGCUUUUAUCAGGGGUUUCUGCUUUUGCAUCUUUCUCAUUUUCUCUUGCCGCUGCCAUGUAAGAAGUGCCUUUCACCUCCCACCAUGAUUCUGAGGCCUCCCCAGCCUUGUGGAAAUCUACAUAACUGGAGCCUCAGCUCUUCACUGACUGUCCUCAGGUUCCAGGGGCCACCUGCAGUUCCUUGCCACAUGGAUUUCUCCAGCAUAGCUGUGUACUUCAUCAAGGCACAAGGAGAGUCUCCAGUCUACCAGAGCCCUAUGUAAUGUAACAUAAUCAACAAAGUGACGUCCCAUUCAUAUUCAAUUGGUCAGAAGCAAGUUACAGUCCCCACCCAGGUCAGAGGGAGGAGAUAUGACAAAGAAGUAAACAUCAGGAGGCUGGGACAAUGGGGAUACUUAAGGUCCAUCCUGCUACAACUUCCACAAUGGCGUCUUGACCAUGAGGGCUCCACAGACACUGAAGCGGUCACCCAGGCUGCAAGUCUUGGAGGCAUUCUCUAGGAAUCACAGUCCCAUUCUUCUGCAGGCAAACGGAGUCGCCAUAUGACCCAGCCCUGGUCUUGCUUGGCUUUCUGGAUGUUCUCAACCUUGACAUGACUCCUUAUUCUCCAAUUCAUUUGGACCUCAAGACACUACUACUCUGGCUACAGCCGCCAGGCAUUAAAAAGAUGACACAGAAAAAUUACAGAGUCAGCAUAUAUUUGAAUACUGGAUAAAAGGGAAGAGGAUGAAAUGGAUUUUUCAAAGCUUCUAAAGAAAACAGAACUAGCUGUGUAGCAGACUCCUCUUAUAAACCUCUGCGAAGUUCUACUUGAAAAGCUGUGGUUUCAUUUCAAAGGAAACCAGCAAUCAGGGGGAUCUCUACAGGAAAAUCUCUUCCCUAUGUCUUCUUUAGACUCUUCAAAAAGGAGAGAGAGCA
RNAcentral lists this long non-coding RNA (935 nucleotides) under Homo sapiens (human). RNAcentral's name for it is "LHRI_LNC2111.5". The record is from RNAcentral. Lineage: Eukaryota; Metazoa; Chordata; Mammalia; Primates; Hominidae.